Molecule: non-coding RNA, 24 nt
Filed under: Arabidopsis thaliana (thale cress)
Lineage: Eukaryota; Viridiplantae; Streptophyta; Magnoliopsida; Brassicales; Brassicaceae
Source: RNAcentral
AUUUUGUUCCCGAUGCGAUGUCAU